CCUACGUGAGGCAGCAGUGGGGAAUAUUGCACAAUGGGCGAAAGCCUGAUGCAGCAACGCCGCGUGAAGGAAGAAGGGUUUCGGCUCGUAAACUUCUAUCAACAGGGACGAAAGAAAUGACGGUACCUGAAUAAGAAGCCCCGGCUAACUACGUGCCAGCAGCCGCGGUAAUACGUAGGGGGCAAGCGUUAUCCGGAAUUACUGGGUGUAAAGGGUGAGUAGGCGGCAUGGUAAGCCAGAUGUGAAAGCCUUGGGCUUAACCCGAGGAUUGCAUUUGGAACUGUUUUUCUUGAGUGCUGGAGAGGCAAUCGGAAUUCCGUGUGUAGCGGUGAAAUGCGUAGAUAUACGGAGGAACACCAGUGGCGAAGGCGGAUUGCUGGACAGUAACUGACGCUGAGGCGCGAAAGCGUGGGGAGCAAACAGGAUUAGAUACCCGAGUAGUC
Molecule: ribosomal RNA, 443 nt
Filed under: uncultured bacterium
Lineage: Bacteria
Description: partial 16S ribosomal RNA
Rfam family: Bacterial small subunit ribosomal RNA
Source: RNAcentral